This 85-nucleotide transfer RNA is filed under the name Bacteroidota bacterium. RNAcentral's name for it is "tRNA-Leu". It matches the Rfam family "tRNA". Rfam says of the family: Transfer RNA (tRNA) molecules are approximately 80 nucleotides in length. Their secondary structure includes four short double-helical elements and three loops (D, anti-codon, and T loops). Further hydrogen bonds mediate the characteristic L-shaped molecular structure. tRNAs have two regions of fundamental functional importance: the anti-codon, which is responsible for specific mRNA codon recognition, and the 3' end, to which the tRNAs corresponding amino acid is attached (by aminoacyl-tRNA synthetases). tRNAs cope with the degeneracy of the genetic code in two manners: having more than one tRNA (with a specific anti-codon) for a particular amino acid; and 'wobble' base-pairing, i.e. permitting non-standard base-pairing at the 3rd anti-codon position. Lineage: Bacteria; Pseudomonadati; Bacteroidota. RNAcentral also lists the same sequence under 1 other name. The record is from RNAcentral.
GCCGGAGUGGCGAAAUUGGCAGACGCGCGAGACUUAGGAUCUCGUAUCGCAAGAUGUGCAGGUUCAAGUCCUGUCUCCGGCACCA